GGGUCUUUUUAAUUGAGAGCUCUUGGGCACAACAAUAAAGAUAUGACAGUUUAUAAGGCAUCGCAUAAUUUCCAUGAACACAGCAAAUAUGAUAAGCUAUUUUAGAUUUCAUUAGAAAGGGGUGGAGAAGGAUGGUUGCUCGAUGGGAAACCAGCUGAAUUGCGUAUCGGAAGUCAGCGCCUCUGUGGCAGCUUUAUCGCCGCGCCUGGUUCCCCUGUUUGUGGAGCCUGCAGCCCCCAGGCGCGUGUGCCCUUCGAUGCCCCGGCCCCGGCUGCCCUCCCCCAGCCGGGACUGAGUCACGUGCAGCCGGCCCUUCCUCCCGUUGCCCUGAACAUCUCACCUCCUUUGCAUCGCGCCCCCGACAGCGCCCUUGUCUGCCUUCCUAGUGCGCAUGUCACCUGCACCGUGGCUGCUCUCGGGUCACUGCAGAAUCGGGGGCGGCUGACACCUCCUCUGUCCUCCACGCGGGUCACCAGCUGGCGCCUUCCAAGCGGAGCAGCGCGUGUCCCCUUCGCGCUUCCGAGCUGUCUGCUCCCCGGCCUCCCUCUCUCUCUCCAUCCUCAGGCUGACGGUCUGGCUUCUUGCUUGAGAAUCAGGAGUCACCGGCCGCCUGCCCCACCGCGUGCUGCCAGGUCCUUCUCGGGGCGGAGGUCACCCCCGUACCUCCCUCCUGAUGCUCCCCCGCUGUGUGAGGGCCUCUGUGCCCCCAGUUCUUUCGGGCGACCCUCCUUCUCCCUGGCCGCUGGCUCCCCUUCUCUGCUGGGUCGCCCCCCCCCCACAGCGCCCAGAUGCUCAGACCCUGUGCACUUAGAAAGCCCUUCCCUGACCCUGCCGCUGCGGCCUGUCUCCGCGGCAGAGCUCUGGACCCGCCGUGGCCUGGCCUGGCCUGGCCCCACCUCUGUUCCUACCAUCCUCUCCCAGACGUUCCACUGCGGCCCAUUAGAUGGCCAGGCCCCCCCGGCCUACUUCUGUCCCUCGAGCUGCCGGCACAUGCGUCGUGAUUGCUCCCUUGCUCUCCCGGGCUUCUCGAAGAUGCAACCCUGUGCUCUUGUUUGUCUGUUUUCCUCGACUUUUUUGCCUCACACACAGCUUCUUGCCAGUGUCCUGGGCCAGUCUCCUCUCUGCCCAGGUGGGUGCCCACCUCCCCUCCCUCGGCAGCCUCGCUGUGGCUGUAGGUGUCAGUGGUAAGAGAAGGGCCCCUUGCAGUGCCCACGUGGCUCUCCUCCCCGCCGUUCCACACCGGCACCUCUUUAGAUUCAAGUACAAGCUCUGGACGGGCCGUCUCUCCUUGGGUCUUGCCUGAGGCACCUCACGUCUUAAACCGCAGACUCUGGAACCCCGCCCCCCAGCCUCGCGUGUCUCAGGGCUUCGCCCCAUCACUGUGGUUGGUGGAUCCCUGGGCCCUUUAUUUUCCCCACCUCCUAGUCCCAUCAGUCCUACCUGGAGAGCCCCCUCUGGCCCCGGCUGCAGUGGGUGUGGGCUGGGGCCCCUGGGGGCCUCCCGCAGGGCCUUGCCCCCCCCCCACUCUCUUAGUCUGAUCUCGUCUCACCGCUGCACUGACAGAUCGACCUUUAAAAUGUGCCCUGAGAACAGGUCCCUCCCAGGGCUCCCAUCAUCCCCAGGGGCCGGUCCAGGCUCCUCAGCUUGGCCCCAGCCCUCAGGCGCGGAUUUCAUCUCACACUACAUCCUGGUGCCUGGAACAGUGGCAGGACCAGAGUGGGUGCUGGCGGGCUGCUGGUGAGCUCCUCUCCCCUCGGACAGGCGAGGACAGAGCCUGAGCCAAGCACGGGCUUCACGUCUGCAGCCCUGAGAGCAGCGCUGUCUGGGGCUUUGGGGGCUUCGUCUUAAGACUGUGUGCAGCAAACGGCUCAGGAAUUCCUCUUUUCCUGGGAUUCUUAGGAGGAGGGUGGCCGGGAGUGUGGCACCCUGGCCUGCGGCUUUGGAGACCGAAUCCGUCCGCCACGGACUCUGCUUUGCCGUGUGGUCCUGGGCCCUUGGUCUCAGCCUAGAUUUCCAGGUCCUUCACUUGGCAUCGCCGUCCUUGCCGUCAAGAGGCAGGGUACCCGAGAGAGGCAAGGGUUCGCCUUCUACUGGACAGCUGAGCUACGGGGCGAUUUCUGUGUCCGUUUCUUCUCAAAAGCAGAUGUUUGACGGGGGACAGUGCGCAGGUGUGACUGGCUGUGAGUUCCCAGAGGCAGAGGAGACGGUGCCGGCUCAGAGACGAGGCAGCGGGGACAGAGCCUCAGCAGGCUCGGGAAACUCCUGGCUCGCUGGGGCCGCUGUUUCUCCAGGAGGCGGGGGUGGGGUGUCUCCGGGAAAGUGCGCCUGGGGGUGGGCGUGGGUCCUCGCCACCUCCUCGGGGGCGCAUGGGCCCCCUGUGGUUCCGACCUUGGUGACGCUGCCCUCCGGGGUUUGGCUGGCUUUGGGGUUCUCCGUGAGACUUCGCUGCACAAACUUCGAGAGCAAACAAACCCCCGUGGACCCUUCAAACAGCGAAUGGGGAUGGACUGUUCUAGAGCCUCGAGCCCAGUGUUUCACGGGUGGUGUCCAGAGAGCCAAGACCCUGGAGUCGCAGGAACUUCGGGGAACUGGUUCUGUGGUCACCGACUCUUCGGAGAUUCACGUGCCUUAGAAGCGCUGCCUCUCGGCGGGGCCUGGCCGCCCUCUGACCCUGGCGCUGGUUCCUGCCAUCGCGGCCUCCGUGACCCGCCCUGGGUUCCGCUGGUCACAGCUGGGAAGGCGGCUUGGGCGUGGCUUCGCAGGGGUUUAUAGAGUGGUUAUAACGUAUCCACCCACUAAAAUGCCGUCCGUGCCACAACCACCAAUAAGGCACUGACAGGCUGGCCCGGUCCAGGUCAGUGCGUUUUCUCCAACACAGGAAGCGGUUUUCUGGUCAAACGAGUUGGUUUCUCAGCAUCUUUCUCCCUUUUUCUCUCCAUCACGGCCCUUUCUUUAUUGAGAAUCGAUCCGUGCUAAGGACUACAAAUGAAUUGACGAGGUGCGUCAGGCUGAAGAGACGUGACUCACUUUUGCAUUCGGAAAUGUCAGAACUAAAAGUUUAAAUCCAGCGUGAUUUG
RNAcentral lists this long non-coding RNA (3077 nucleotides) under Sus scrofa (pig). RNAcentral's name for it is "lncRNA (ENSSSCG00000059604.1)". The record is from RNAcentral. Lineage: Eukaryota; Metazoa; Chordata; Mammalia; Artiodactyla; Suidae.